Molecule: ribosomal RNA, 229 nt
Filed under: uncultured bacterium
Lineage: Bacteria
Description: partial 16S ribosomal RNA
Rfam family: Bacterial small subunit ribosomal RNA
Source: RNAcentral
GGUGUAGGCGGUGAAGUAAGUCGGAUGUGAAAUCCCAGGGCCCAACCCUGGAACUGCAUUCGAAACUGCUCCACUAGAGCCCCGGAGGGGAAGGCGGAAUUCCCGGUGUAGAGGUGAAAUUCGUAGAUAUCGGGAGGAACACCAGUGGCGAAGGCGGCCUUCUGGACGGUGACUGACGCUCAGACCCGAAAGCGUGGGGAGCAAACAGGAUUAGAUACCCUGGUAGUCC